GUAGGUGGCAAGCGUUGUCCGGGAAUUAUUGGGCGUAAAGCGCGCGCAGGCGGUUCGUUUAAGUCUGAUGUGAAAGCCCAGGGGCGUCAACCGUGGAGGGUCAUUGGAAACUGGAGAACUUGAGUACAGAAGAGGAAAGCGGAAUUCCACGUGUAGCGGUGAAAUGCGUAGAGAUGUGGAGGAACACCAGUGGCGAAGGCGGCUUUCUGGUCUGUAACUGACGCUGAGGCGCGAAAGCGUGGGGAGCAAACAGGAUUAGAUACCCUGGUAGUCCACGCCGUAAACGAUGAGUGCUAAGUGUUAGGGGGGUUUCCGCCCCUUAGUGCUGCAGCUAACGCAUUAAGCACUCCGCCUGGGGAGUACGGCCGCAAAGGCUG
Molecule: ribosomal RNA, 377 nt
Filed under: uncultured organism
Description: partial 16S ribosomal RNA
Rfam family: Bacterial small subunit ribosomal RNA
Source: RNAcentral